UUAACUCAUAUUUGUAUGGAGUUGGAACGUUUGCCUACGUUUGCCGCUAGAGGCGCUGUUCUAACUCCAUACAAAUUUGCGUUA
RNAcentral lists this microRNA precursor (84 nucleotides) under Bombyx mori (domestic silkworm). RNAcentral's name for it is "mir-2807 microRNA precursor family". It matches the Rfam family "mir-2807 microRNA precursor family". Lineage: Eukaryota; Metazoa; Arthropoda; Insecta; Lepidoptera; Bombycidae. The record is from Rfam by way of RNAcentral.